This 253-nucleotide ribosomal RNA is filed under the name uncultured bacterium. RNAcentral's name for it is "partial 16S ribosomal RNA". It matches the Rfam family "Bacterial small subunit ribosomal RNA", at positions 524 to 776 of the family's 1533-position model. The record is from RNAcentral.
UACGGAGGGGGCUAGCGUUGUUCGGAAUUACUGGGCGUAAAGCGCACGUAGGCGGACCUGAAAGUCAGAGGUGAAAUCCCGGGGCUCAACCCCGGAACGGCCUUUGAAACUCUGGGUCUUGAGGUCGAGAGAGGUGAGUGGAAUUCCGAGUGUAGAGGUGAAAUUCGUAGAUAUUCGGAGGAACACCAGUGGCGAAGGCGGCUCACUGGCUCGAUACUGACGCUGAGGUGCGAAAGCGUGGGGAGCAAACAGG